UACGUAGGGUCCAAGCGUUAUCCGGAAUCACUGGGCGUAAAGCGUGCGUAGGCGGGUGCUCAAGUGCAAUGCGAAAUCUUGGGGCUCAACCAUAAGACGGUAUUCCAUACUGGGUACCUAGAGGAAGGCAGAGGCAAGUGGAAUUACCGGUGUAGCAGUGAAAUGCGUAGAUAUCGGUAGGAACAUCAAUGGCGAAGGCAGCUUGCUGGGCAUUAUCUGACGCUAAGGCACGAAAGCGUGGGGAGCGAACAGG
RNAcentral lists this ribosomal RNA (253 nucleotides) under uncultured bacterium. Its description in RNAcentral is "partial 16S ribosomal RNA". It matches the Rfam family "Bacterial small subunit ribosomal RNA", at positions 524 to 776 of the family's 1533-position model. The record is from RNAcentral.